RNAcentral lists this small nuclear RNA (99 nucleotides) under Pteropus vampyrus (large flying fox). Lineage: Eukaryota; Metazoa; Chordata; Mammalia; Chiroptera; Pteropodidae. The record is from RNAcentral.
UUGCUUUGGCAGCAUAUACACUAAAAUUGGAAUGACCUACAGAUUAAUAUGGUCCCGUACAAGGAUAAUGUGCAACCUCAUGAAGUGCUCCAUAUUUUU